AUUGAACGCUGGCGGAAUGCUUUACACAUGCAAGUCGAACGGCAGCACGGGGGCAACCCUGGUGGCGAGUGGCGAACGGGUGAGUAAUACAUCGGAACGUGCCCAAUCGUGGGGGAUAACGUAGCGAAAGCUACGCUAAUACCGCAUACGAUCUACGGAUGAAAGCGGGGGAUCGCAAGACCUCGCGCGAAUGGAGCGGCCGAUGGCAGAUUAGGUAGUUGGUGGGGUAAAGGCUCACCAAGCCAACGAUCUGUAGCUGGUCUGAGAGGACGACCAGCCACACUGGGACUGAGACACGGCCCAGACUCCUACGGGAGGCAGCAGUGGGGAAUUUUGGACAAUGGGCGAAAGCCUGAUCCAGCCAUUCCGCGUGCAGGAUGAAGGCCUUC
RNAcentral lists this ribosomal RNA (389 nucleotides) under uncultured bacterium. RNAcentral describes it as "bacterial SSU rRNA". It matches the Rfam family "Bacterial small subunit ribosomal RNA", at positions 29 to 419 of the family's 1533-position model. The record is from RNAcentral.